GACGAACGCUGGCGGCGUGCUUAACACAUGCAAGUCGAACGGAAAGGCCCUGCUUUUGUGGGGUGCUCGAGUGGCGAACGGGUGAGUAACACGUGAGUAACCUGCCCUUGACUUUGGGAUAACUUCAGGAAACUGGGGCUAAUACCGGAUAGGAGCUCCUGCUGCAUGGUGGGGGUUGGAAAGUUUCGGCGGUUGGGGAUGGACUCGCGGCUUAUCAGCUUGUUGGUGGGGUGGUGGCUUACCAAGGCUUUGACGGGUAGCCGGCCUGAGAGGGUGACCGGCCACAUUGGGCCUGAGAUACGGCCCAGACUCCUACGGGAGGCAGCAGUGGGGAAUAUUGCACAAUGGGCGGAAGCCUGAUGCAGCAACGCCGCGUGCGGGAUGACGGCCUUCGGGUUGUAAACCGCUUUCGCCUGUGACGAAGCGUGAGUGACGGUAAUGGGUAAAGAAGCACCGGCUAACUACGUG
RNAcentral lists this ribosomal RNA (468 nucleotides) under uncultured bacterium. RNAcentral describes it as "partial 16S ribosomal RNA". It matches the Rfam family "Bacterial small subunit ribosomal RNA", at positions 28 to 507 of the family's 1533-position model. The record is from RNAcentral.